AACGAACGCUGGCGGCAUGCCUAACACAUGCAGGUCGAACGAAGCCUUCGGGCUUAGUGGCGCACGGGUGCGUAACGCGUGGGAAUCUGCCCUUGGGUUCGGAAUAACAGUUAGAAAUGACUGCUAAUACCGGAUGAUGUCUUCGGACCAAAGAUUUAUCGCCCAAGGAUGAGCCCGCGUAGGAUUAGGUAGUUGGUGGGGUAAUGGCCCACCAAGCCGACGAUCCUUAGCUGGUCUGAGAGGAUGAUCAGCCACACUGGGACUGAGACACGGCCCAGACUCCUACGGGAGGCAGCAGUGGGGAAUAUUGGACAAUGGGCGAAAGCCUGAUCCAGCAAUGCCGCGUGAGUGAUGAAGGCCUUAGGGUUGUAAAGCUCUUUUACCAGGGAUGAUAAUGACAGUACCUGGAGAAUAAGCUCCGGCUAACUACGUGCCAGCCGCCGCAGUAA
RNAcentral lists this ribosomal RNA (449 nucleotides) under uncultured bacterium. Its description in RNAcentral is "partial 16S ribosomal RNA". It matches the Rfam family "Bacterial small subunit ribosomal RNA", at positions 29 to 523 of the family's 1533-position model. The record is from RNAcentral.